CCCUUAGAUGUUCUGGGCCGCACGCGUGCUACACUGAGUGGAUCAGCGGGUCAGGUUGCGCGAAAGCGUUUCCUAAUCUUUAAAUCCGCUCGUGAUGGGGAUUGACGGUUGCAAUUUUCUGUCAUGAACGAGGAAUACCUUGUAAGCGCGGGUCAUCAUCCCGCGCUGAAUACGUCCCUGCCCUUUGUACACACCGCCCGUCGCUCCUACCGAUUGGGUGAGCCGAUGAAACUCUCGGAUGUAGGCUAUUCAUAGCCCGCAGAAGAGAUUUGAAUCGUAGCGCUUAGAGGAAGGAGAAGUCGUAACA
Molecule: ribosomal RNA, 307 nt
Filed under: uncultured eukaryote
Lineage: Eukaryota
Description: partial 18S ribosomal RNA
Rfam family: Eukaryotic small subunit ribosomal RNA
Source: RNAcentral